UCGCUAAAAACAAAUAUAUAUAAUUGUAAAUGUAAAUAUAUUUAUUUCUAUUUAAUUUUAUAAAAAACAUCAAUAAUUUUACAAUUUUAACGUUUUUUUCUGUUUUUUUUAUGGUUACUCAUAUUUUUUACAAAUAAAAUAAUUUUUAUUUAAAAAAAAAAAAAAUAAAUAAAAAUAGAAAAAAAAAAAAAAAAAAAAAAUCAAUCAAACGUUUAAAAUGAAAAAAUUGUAUAUUUCAUUGUUAUGCCUUAUAUUUUAUUUUUGCUGUUCGGAACUGGCAUAUACCGGUAGUAGUGGUGGUUUUGUAACAAACAAAACAGGUGAUAAGAAUCCAAAUGGAGUACAAGAAACAGCUACGUUAACAAAAAGCCCAAUUCAACUAGAAGUAAAUACUAAAGAAACUAGUAUACCAGACAAUAAUGAAUAUACAAUGAUAAGAAAAAAAAAAAAAAACGCAAUUACGCUCGAUGCUAAUUAUGAAGAAUUAAUGACGUAUCUGAAAAAAAUUAUAAAUGGAGAAAUAACUAAGUAUCAUCAUGGUAUGAAUAAUCUAACUCUUUUAUUUAUGUCGAAUAUUACAGCCAAUGUUUUACCACAGUUUAACGGUUACUCUAUACUUUUUUUUAAUUAUACUAAUAAUGGUAAUUCAAACUCUCAAAUUAAUAUUGAUGCAAAAAUUUUAACAUGUCAACAUAAUAAUGAAAAGACAAAAUGUAAUAAAACAUAUAAAAAAGAAUUUCAAAAUAUUAUUAUAGAUAAAAACCAAAAAGAGGAUUUUUAUAACAGCAUAUUUAUGUUAUCAACUAUAUACACUACACAUAUUAAUAUCGACGACAAAGAUUUCAAAUCAGGUUACUUCGCAUACUUUGUACAUUAUUCCUACGCUGUUGAAUUGACAUUAAAUGUACUCGUUACUACUAUCGUUAUAUGUACAACUAAAACCAAUAAAAAAAAUUGUGAAAUGUUAAACCCUCUUCCACUCGAUGAACAGUGGUAUCCAAAUCUGUGUUAUUAUUUUAAUGAACUGCAUAUCCCCAUACAAACGUUUAAAUCUUCAACUGGCUGUACUUUUGAUCCACUAUAUAAAAAUCUAAUAACUUCACAUGAUAAUCUAAAUCAACUUUACAAGUUAAAUUAUAUUACAUAUGCGCGUUCCAAUUAUGUAUAUGAUCCGCUAUCACCUAUUUUAAUAAUUUUCUGUAAUAUAAUAAAAAUAAAUAAGGAAAAUUGUUUAAAUAUGUUUACCGAUAUAAACAAUGACAUAAAAAAUGGUAAUAUAGAAACUAAAAUAUUUUUAAAAACAUGUAUGGGAUUUUAUUAUAACGAAGCAGAACAACUAGAUAAAACUGAUCCUACAAAAAUAUAUCAAAAAAGCGAAGAUAGCGCAAAAAAUGAAGCGACAACUCGUGAUAAAUUACUAAAGCAACUUAUAAAAAAUGUAGAUGAUGGUGACAUCAACCGUUGUAAAGAAACUUACAACCAAUUAAAACUCAGUUCUAAAGAAAGCUCUAUCAUAUCAGAAUCCAGUCUCACAAAAAAUACCACUAAAUCAGCAUAUAGCUCUCAAGGAAAUGACACUGAAUCAGAAUCCAGUGCUACAAUUUCUGAUUUAAUUUAUGGUGUAUUUUUAUUAAUACUUACAAUUCAUAUGUUUUAAUAAUUAUAUUUAAAUUAAAAUUUUUAAAAAUACGAUAAUAGUUUAUUUCACAUGUGCAUAUAUAUUAAAUUAUGUAAAUACAUUUUUAUUUUGUCUGAAACAAAUUAAUAAUACAUAGUUUAUUAAAGCCACAGCAAAAUUUAAUAUUAUUAUUUAUCGUUCUUAUCAUUUUUUUCAUUUGUAUUUAUUUUUUUUUUUUUUUUUUUUACACAUACAUAUUAC
Long non-coding RNA from Piliocolobus tephrosceles (Ugandan red Colobus), 1879 nucleotides. The record is from Ensembl. NCBI's taxonomy places the organism in Eukaryota, Metazoa, Chordata, Mammalia, Primates, Cercopithecidae.